CCUACGGGAGGCAGCAGUGGGGAAUAUUGGGCAAUGGAGGCAACUCUGACCCAGCAAUGCCGCGUGAGUGAUGAAGGUAAUUUUAUUGUAAAGCUCUUUUCUUUGGAACGAAUAAAUGACGGUACCAAAGGAAUCAGCCCCGGCUAACUACGUGACAGCAGCCGCGGUCAUACGUAGGGGGCAAGCGUUGUUCGGAAUGACUGGGCGUAAGGGGUGUGUAGGUGGUUUGAUAAGUUAGAUGUGUAAUACCCAGGGCUUAACUCGGGUGCUGCAUCUAAAACUGUUAGACUUGAGUACUGGAGAGGAUAGUGGAAUUCCUAGUGUAGCGGUGGAAUGCGUAGAUAUUAGGAGGAACAUCAGUGGCGAAGGCGACUAUCUGGACAGCAACUGACACUGAGGCACGAAAGCGUGGGGAGCAAACAGGAUUAGAUACCCCUGUAGUC
This 443-nucleotide ribosomal RNA is filed under the name uncultured bacterium. Its description in RNAcentral is "partial 16S ribosomal RNA". It matches the Rfam family "Bacterial small subunit ribosomal RNA", at positions 338 to 795 of the family's 1533-position model. The record is from RNAcentral.